GGAGGGGAGGGGGAGGAGACAGGAAACUCUGGUAUAUAUAAACAGUGGAAUAUUAUUUAGCCUAGGAAAGGAAAUCUUGCCAUUUGCAAUAAAUACUAUGGAUGGACCUGGAGAACACUGUGCUAAGCAAAAUAAGCCAGUCACAGAAGGAAGAAUGCUUCAUGAUUCUAUGUAGAUGAGUGCGCUGUAAUAGUCCAACCCAUAGGAGCAGAGAAGGGAGUCUGUAUUUUUUGCUGGGGGCCAAGGAAGGCCUCCCGGUGACGGUGACUUGUAGGCCCUCUGUGAUCAUGGUGACGCCCAGGGAACCGUAGGCCCGUGACCUGUGCAGGUGGGUCCAAGUCCCCUAUGGAGCCUCCCUUGGUGCUGUAACCUGCUCUGAGCAGAAGGCACAGUGGGCUUCACAGGUAGAAAGGUGACAUCGUAUGUGUGUGUACCCAUUCCCAAAGGAUCUUGGGCAGGUCCCGCAAACACACAGGAGCCUGGCCACCCAGCGGGGGGCAUGGAGCCAGGCUCAAAGCCCUGCAAGGGGCAACGGAGGCCUGUGGCUCUAUGUAAAGAAAGACAGAUGGAGGGACACAGAAGCGCUGGGUGUAUGUCUGGUGCUCCGGAGAGCUGCAAACAUGACUUUGGGGGUGACUGUCAGAGGGUGUUGAAAUUAACUGACACAUGAGAUGCUUCCUGCCGAGUGGAGAGAUCAGUCUACUGGGCAGAAUUUACAGAGGAACACUUAAGAGCCCAUUCCAUGGCUCUCAGCUUCUCAGGCCAAGAAUUUAAAAAUGUAGGGAGGACAGUGGACCACGUCAUCGAGAGUGGAGAUCUUUCCUGUGAAGAUGUCAAGUAGCAGGAAAGAGAAAUCCAGGUGGAACAGGGGGGCGGGUCAGCCCUGCCCCGACUCUGCUCUGCUCUCUGUAACAAAUAAUGACACUGUUUUUCUUUGCAGGGUUGGGGAUGGAACCCAGGUAUUGUUAUGCUAGGCCAGGGCUCUACCACUGAGCUACACCCCAAGCCUCACUGAGCCGCUUUGGCCAAGAGGGGACACCACAGCUGCAGCAGGCUGGAUCACGCCCCCGCCUGAGUGGAGUGGGGGUGCAGCUCUGGGACCCACAAGGAGGAAGGGCUUUCUCAGAACUGGCACCGUGAGGUCUCAGCAGCCCGAGAGAAGUCCCGGCACCUCGAGCCAGGAACUAUUUUGGAAAUAACUGGAAAGGCUAGACUAGAAGGGAGGAGCACCUCUGCGCCUCCCGUGCAUCUCCAAGAAAAACAAGGCUCCAAACAGCCCGGUCCCAGCCUGUGCUCUCCCCCGCCCCACUCCCCACCACCAGUUGCUGAGAAAAUGGGGCAGGAGCGCGGGAAGGUUAGAGGGCAGCCACAACCCCAAGGACUGUGCACAGGUUCACUUCCAGGGCCUUUGGCUUAAAUGUAGAAUCAUAAACCUGAGGACGGCUCCAGCUCUGGGCUUUACAGAUGGGGCAACAGAGACCAGGUGACCACAACACACCUGCAGUGCUGGGGCCCCGCAGGAGGCGCUCUCUGUCUCUGCACUGUUUUAUUUGAAGCGUACGAUGAACCCCAGCCACACAGCACGCUCACUGCCCCGAUUUCCAAAGGAGGAAGCAGGCUCCCAGAACGGAAUGACUUCCCAAGGUCGCAGGAGCAGGGAGCAGUGGAGACACCCGAGCCACACUGAGCGUCUCUGCGGACCACGCUUGCUCCACUCUAGCCCGUCCCUUCCCCUGCUGGCUUUUGUAUUUAUGCGUCCUUCUCCCUCCUGUGUUACAGCAGCGGAAACAGACUCAGAGAGGCUGAUUUGCUCAUGUUUCCACAACUAGUCGGUGGCAGAAGUUAUAUUUGAACUUGGGCUUGGCUGCCCCUAGCACCCAAGUGCUUUCCAUUAUGUCAGCAUUUCUGAGAUUUUUCCUCCCAAAUAUCCCGAAUUACAGACGAGACCUGAAGCGUACAGCAAGCCGCACACAGAAACAGAAAGAUCUCCUGGAUAUCUUGUGCUUUAUUGUAUAACUACACACACACACACACACACACACACACACAGACUUUGAAAAUGUAGAUGUGCUGCGUCUUUCUUAGGACACCCUCUGUACACGGAUGCUGAAGGAAAACCUGUCUCUUGAGAGGCCCGCGCUUGGCUUAGCCACCGGAUUGGGGUGAGGAGAGCUAAGCCCUGAUGCCUCUGAGCCCUGAUGUUCAGGAUGACGUACCCAGGGGCUGAGCCAAAGGAUGGGGGUGCACAAAGCACGCGGCAGAGCCCUCACUGGAUCCUGCCACGCGGCCAUCAACCUGUCGUGCUUACAGCCCCCAAGCCCUUCCCUCUCCCGCAGCCAGCAGGAAGGACAGGCUAACACAGAAAUCAGCCUCCUCCUUCCCCAAGGCCUCCAGCAGCUGCUGGCUGCAAACAGCAAACAGCAAACAGCAAACAUGGGAACCCCUGACACAGCCCUCAAGGCCCUGAAUGACCUGGCCCCAGCCUUGCCUCGGCCUCGCUCAGCUCCUCCCUCUUUCCCACUCCCUGCGGCUGCCCGGCCUCCCCAGGCCCAGCUCUACUCCAACCCAGCCAGCUGGGCAGGCACAGGGGAGCCUGCGUAAGCCAGGGCUCCACCCUCUGGCUUGCCGGCUGUUUAUCCCGUUGCGUUUCCCUUUAAAUGUCACUUCCUGCAGGUCCUCCAGGAGGUCCUCUCCCACGGCUCUCCCUUUGGUCAUGGAUCCUAGCUUCUUUCCUGGCCCUGAGAACCAAUUUGCUGGCAUUCACUUUACUUGGCUACCUCUCCCACAAGUCGCCUGUUAAAAUAAAAAGAAAAAGAGGUCCAAGGAGAAAUUAUGACCUAAAGAGAGGUCUCAAGCCAGGAUCUUGCAGGCUUUGUCUCAGCAAGUAUCCCUGGAAGCACACAGGAAGUUGGCCUUGGAAGUAACGCUGCACAGUUGGAUCUUCCGAUGCAUACACCCAAGUGCUUUCAAGUCAACAGCAUGGUGUAUAAUGUGGUAGCAGGGGGAGCCACCCUUCUGGGCCCCAGGAAGCCUUAGGGCUAAGCUUCAGCUGUCUGCAAGCCAAAGCCAUCAAACUCUGGACCUGCCACAGCUGUGGCAGCUGUUUUGUGCAACGUGGAGACCAAGGACUGCAGAGAGGGAGAAGGACACAGCUGCUGUGCAGAACACGAGGGGGAGGGACGGGGCCAGCGGGUGUUUGGAUUCCUGGUUCCAGCAUCUCCAGAGGGCCAGCCUCCACGUGGCAGACCAAGGUGGUGGGGGAGGGUGUUCGAGCGCCACGGGCCAAUAGGGAAAUGACACAAGUCAUUUCAGAUGGUCUCACUGCCACAUUAAAAAGCAUAGAGAAGCAGAUGAAAUUAA
Chinchilla lanigera (long-tailed chinchilla) is the source of this 3360-nucleotide long non-coding RNA. RefSeq lists it as uncharacterized. The transcript has 2 exons. The record is from RefSeq and is a predicted model, not a curated record. NCBI's taxonomy places the organism in Eukaryota, Metazoa, Chordata, Mammalia, Rodentia, Chinchillidae.